UAAUACUCCAUAGUCCAUGGAAUCUGGAAUGAUCCAUGGAUGAAAGUUCCGGCGCUUAAGGAUCGGUCUGCGGCCUAUCAGGUUGUAGUGGGUGUAACGUACCUACUAGCCGAUGACGGGUAUGGGCCUUGAGAGAGGGAGCCCAGAGUUGGAUUCUGAGACACGAAUCCAGGCCCUACGGGGCGCAGCAGUCGCGAAAACUUCACAAUGGGGGCAACCCCGAUGAGGGAAUUCCUAAUGCUAGCACAUUUGUGUUAGCUUUUCUUUAGCGUAGAUAACUAGAGGAAUAAGGGCUGGGAAAGACGGGUGCCAGCCGCCGCGGUAAUACCUGCAGCCCAAGUGGUGGUCGAGUUUAUUGAGUCUAAAACGUUCGUAGCCGGUUCGGUAAAUCUUUGGGUAAAUCGGAGGGCUUAACCUUCCGACUUCUGAGGAGACUGCCGAACUUGGGACCGGGAGAGGCUAGAGGUACUUCUGGGGUGGGGGUAAAAUCCUGUAAUCCUAGAAGGACCACCGGUGGCGAAGGCGUCUAGCUAGAACGGAUCCGACGGUGAGGGACGAAGCCCUGGGUCGCAAACGGGAUUAGAUACCCCGGUAGUCCAGGGUGUAAACGCUGCAGACUUGGUGU
RNAcentral lists this ribosomal RNA (625 nucleotides) under uncultured archaeon. RNAcentral describes it as "bacterial SSU rRNA". It matches the Rfam family "Archaeal small subunit ribosomal RNA", at positions 147 to 774 of the family's 1478-position model. The record is from RNAcentral.